AACGAACGCUGGCGGCAGGCCUAAAACAUGCAAGUCGAACGCCCUAGCAAUUGGGAGUGGCGCACGGGUGAGUAACGCGUGGGAACGUGCCCUUCAGUACGGAACAACGUCGGGAAACUGACGCUAAUACCGUAUAAUAUCUCCGGAUCAAAGAUUUAUCGCUGAAGGAUCGGCCCGCGUCUGAUUAGCUAGUUGGUGAGGUAAUGGCUCACCAAGGCUACGAUCAGUAGCUGGUCUGAGAGGAUGAUCAGCCACACUGGGACUGAGACACGGCCCAGACUCCGACGGGAGGCAGCAGUUAGGAAUAUUGGACAAUGGGCGAAAGCCUGAUCCAGCCAUGCCGCGUGUGUGAUGAAGGCCUUAGGGUUGUAAAGCACUUUCGUUGGGGAUGAUAAUGACCGUACCCAAAGAAGAAGCCACGGCUAAAUUCGUGCCAGCCGCCGCCGUAA
RNAcentral lists this ribosomal RNA (449 nucleotides) under uncultured bacterium. Its description in RNAcentral is "partial 16S ribosomal RNA". It matches the Rfam family "Bacterial small subunit ribosomal RNA", at positions 29 to 523 of the family's 1533-position model. The record is from RNAcentral.